GGGGGGGGGGGGGGGGGGGGGGGGGGGGGGGGGGGCGGGGGGGGGGGUGGGGAGCGGGGUCGGCUGACGGUGGCGGCGGGCGGGGGGGUACCAGGGGGAUAACCUGCCUAUAAGGCUGAGAGCACUUCGGGCUACCGGAGCUGCUCCCGGCGCCGCUAUUGGACCGCCGUGUUCCAUAGUGACAGACGGUUUUGCUGCCACUUAUACCUGGGUCCGCUCCGCAUUAGCUACUUGGUACGUCACCGGCUUACCACGGCAACGAUGCGUAGCCGACCUGAGAGGGGGAUCGGCCACACGGGACCUGAGACACGGUCCAGACUCCUACGGGAGGCAGCAGUAGGGAAUCUUCCGCAAUGGGCGAAAGCCUGACGGAGCAACGCCGAGUGAGUGAUGAAGGUCUUCGGAUCGUAAAACUCUGUUAUUAGGGAAGAACAAAUGUGUAAGUAACUAUGCCCGUCUUGACGGUACCUAAUCAGAAAGCCACGGCUAACUACGUG
Molecule: ribosomal RNA, 497 nt
Filed under: uncultured bacterium
Lineage: Bacteria
Description: partial 16S ribosomal RNA
Rfam family: Bacterial small subunit ribosomal RNA
Source: RNAcentral